CACAUAUAUAUAUUUCGAAUUUUCUUUUAAUGACACACAUAUUUUUUGUAUUUUGUUUGAUAAUGAUUAAAUGCGAAAUGGACAGACCCACAAAUGACUAGCAAUACAUGUCAUGAAGAAUUUGUAUCGCGGGGUCAUUUGUCACUAUUUUUAUUUUUGUUUUCCUUUUGGAGUGAUUGCUCGUAAAGCAAAAAUCACGUGCUUACAGUGCUCUAAGGCCCAAUGGUUAUUAGUUAACCUUAAUGUUCCCUAUAUAAGUACACUUAGUGUGUACUCUAAAAGAACAUUUUGCAGUAAUUUUUCUACGCUUAAUCUUCUCCCACAAUCAAAUUAGGGUUUAGACUAUGGAAUUGGGGUUGCUCCAACACAACGUGACAACCAUCACCGACUGAUGAUUCCAGUCGUGGUUCCCCUGUCUUCCGCUUCCGUGACGAAGAACAAGUAAGUUCUCGUUUUAUAAUUUACGCGCUAAAUUAAUGUGCUUAGUUUAUCGCGUCAUCCUUCACUAUAUUUAAAAAUAAUUUAAUUUUAAGCUUCUCUUUCUAGAGAUGCUUUUGUACUCCAACAAAUAUUUAUCACUUAGUUUUAGACCACAAAUUUCAAAAUUAUUUCUUAUUUAUUAAACUUCGUGCUCACAAACUAUGCCACGUAAAAUGGGACGGAAGUAGCCAAUUAGUCAAAGAUUGUACCUUUACAGGAGCAGAGGGAGAAGAAGGGGCAUGUUGUUGAGGCUCCUGAAUAUACUUCUUCAUACGACCCAUAAAUUCUUUGUUCCAGAUAUAAUCAUCAGAGGUGAGAGGAUCCACAUCCUCACCCCAAUACUUCCUGAGCUUAGUUGUAGUGACAACGUCCCCAUUGGACAAUUUCACAGGUUUCUGCUGGGGCAAAAUAACCUUGGUCUGUGUUAGAAUUGAAGAUGGGGUUGAAUUAUUUGCAGAAUCUUGAGAUAUGGGUGUGGCUACAGAGGUCACUGAGAGAUAGCAGUAGUUUAGGACUGCCAUCUGAAUUCCUUCAAUUUUUUUGGAUGAUGAGUGAUGUGCUUGUGUGGACCUAGUGCUGUUGAUAACAUUGUUUGUAUUUUUUGGCCAUGCAAAAGUUUGACUGGAUA
This 1108-nucleotide long non-coding RNA is filed under the name Nicotiana tabacum (common tobacco). Its description in RNAcentral is "long non-coding RNA (NTAB_LNC015348)". Lineage: Eukaryota; Viridiplantae; Streptophyta; Magnoliopsida; Solanales; Solanaceae. The record is from RNAcentral.